UAACAGGGGGGCAAGCGUUGUUCGGAAUUACUGGGCGUAAAGGGUCUGGUAGGGUGGCCAACUAAGUCAGACGUGGAAAUCCCUCAGCUUAACUGGGAACCGCGUCUGAUACUGGAUGGCUUGAGUGUGGGAGAGGAAGUGCGGGAAUUCCAGGUGUAGCGGUGAAAUGCGUAGAUAUCUGAAGGAACACAGUGGCGAAAGCGACUUCCUGGACCAAUACUGACGCUCAUGUGCGAAAGCGUGGGAGCA
RNAcentral lists this ribosomal RNA (249 nucleotides) under uncultured bacterium. RNAcentral's name for it is "partial 16S ribosomal RNA". It matches the Rfam family "Bacterial small subunit ribosomal RNA", at positions 524 to 770 of the family's 1533-position model. The record is from RNAcentral.